Hevea brasiliensis (rubber tree) is the source of this 818-nucleotide long non-coding RNA. RefSeq lists it as uncharacterized. The transcript is spliced from 4 exons. NCBI's taxonomy places the organism in Eukaryota, Viridiplantae, Streptophyta, Magnoliopsida, Malpighiales, Euphorbiaceae. The record is from RefSeq and is a predicted model, not a curated record.
UCUACAGGCAUUUUUAGUGAGCACUUAAGAAUCUCAUUUUCCCUCUUUGCUUCCUUCUUCCUCACAAACUCAAUACUUAGCCAUUUCUUCAAUUGCUUGGACAACAUCAUUUCACACUGCAAGGAACACCCAAUUCUUCUAUAGGCAAAAGCUUUUCACGGCACAGAGAGAGGACCCAUUUGUGUCUACUUUUCAUGGCACAGAGAGAAGACCCAUUUGAGCCAAUAGCGACAAUCACCUUGCAGACCCAUCCCCCUCAAAAAGUCGCACAUUUACUGGACACUGCUCAACCGAAACUAGCGUUUUUCUUUUGGGUCUUCUUUUAUCAACAGUUCAGUUCAGCCUCUUUUCCUUUGUCAACUACAGUAUUUGUAGAAAUGCAGGAUUUAUGUUUUGAACCAGUCAAUGAAUGAAUGAAUUUCAACAGAGAUUUGAAAGUUCACCCGGUCUGAGGUCUGCUGGACUCUCCAGUUAUGUCUCCAGUACCUGCGCGUGGCAAAAGCGAUGCGCUAAGUAAUUCUGCUUAGUGGUGACAAUAUAAAAUAAAAUAACUAAAUAAAAUAAAUAUGCAAAAUGUUCUGGAGAGACUGACAUAGAGCCCAGUAGACCACAGACUGGGUGAGGCCGUCCAUAGUUCUGCAUAGUGUCCAUGCCACCUCACCGACUUCAGUGCAUUGGUAGGACACUACGUUUCAUUUGGGUAUUUUGUAAUUAACUUUUAUUUUCUCAUGUAUAAGUGAGACUUAUGUAAUAUAUUUUGAUAUUAAUGUAAAUAGUGAAAAUUUGUGUUUAAAAAUGAAAAAUUGAGUAUUUAUUUA